Molecule: small RNA, 899 nt
Filed under: Vigna angularis var. angularis
Lineage: Eukaryota; Viridiplantae; Streptophyta; Magnoliopsida; Fabales; Fabaceae
Description: Non-protein coding transcript
Source: RNAcentral
GCCAAGUACAUACAUGAGAAUAUACUUAAUCUAGGAAGGGGAACAUGCUUUUAAAGGGUCAUCUUUUACAUUAACUACAUCCAUUGGGACUUCAUUGUCCUCAUGAGUGUUAGAAGGAACUGUUUGAACCACAUGUACCUUAGAAUUGGGGGAAUCAUUGCUGCCUGGGGUCAUAGCCUCAGAAACAACUGAAAUUCUUUCAACUGCGGUAGAUUCAUCAUCUGAAGAAUCAGAUUCAUUUACCCUUUCUGGAAGUGCUUGAGACUCAUCUUUAGAUUUCUUUGGUUUACAAGAAAUAACUUGUUUCAAGCCUCGAGCCGAUUUUCCUGCUUGUUUCAAAAAACUCUUUGCCACAUCCUUCGCAUGUCCCUUUGCAGGGGUUUCAGAACCACUCUCUUCAAUUGAUACCCUUUCUUCUUGAACCUUAGGAGUUGGAAAGUCAGAAAUGUUCUCAUCCAUGACAAACUUCACACCAAUCAUCCCCUUAGAAUUCAUUGACCUAAUGUUAUCAUGUGGAGAUAGAUAGUCCUCUUGAACAGGCUCCUCCCCUUUAUUUCGGUGGAAUACUGAACCAAUCUUGUGCAGGCCCCUCCUAAACGAUCUCAGGCGGUGCUUUUCUUCAGGAUUGUUAUCAGAACUGCUGCUGUCAUUGUUAAAGGAUCCAGAUUCAGUUGAUCUACCGCUGCCAACUAAAUCAUUAGGUUCUCCAUGAAUUUCAGUAUCAAGGCGCCGACUUUUCCCUUUCCUAGGCUCCCACCUUUGGGAAACUUCACUUCCUGGGUGAUGAACCCAAACUCCUGUCUGCUUUUGUCCUUCGAUGUCUAUAGGCUCAUAGUUAUCUGCCACCUUCUGAGAUUUUUCAGGUGGAACAUGUGAAGAGGAACUAUUAUCAGCAGUGU